GACGAACGCUGGCGGCGUGCCUAAUACAUGCAAGUUGAGCGAUGAAGAUUGGUGCUUGCACCAAUUUGAAGAGCAGCGAACGGGUGAGUAACGCGUGGGGAAUCUGCCUUUGAGCGGGGGACAACAUUUGGAAACGAAUGCUAAUACCGCAUAACAACUUUAAACAUAAGUUUUAAGUUUGAAAGAUGCAAUUGCAUCACUCAAAGAUGAUCCCGCGUUGUAUUAGCUAGUUGGUGAGGUAAAGGCUCACCAAGGCGAUGAUACAUAGCCGACCUGAGAGGGUGAUCGGCCACAAUGGGACUGGGACACGGCCCAAACUCCUACGGGGGGCAGCAGUAGGGAAUCUUCGGCAAUGGACGAAAGUCUGACCGAGCAACGCCGCGUGAGUGAAGAAGGUUUUCGGAUCGUAAAACUCUGUUGGUAGAGAAGAACGUUGGUGAGAGUGGAAAGCUCAUCAAGUGACGGUAACUACACAGAAAGGGACGGCUAACUACGUG
RNAcentral lists this ribosomal RNA (497 nucleotides) under uncultured bacterium. RNAcentral describes it as "partial 16S ribosomal RNA". It matches the Rfam family "Bacterial small subunit ribosomal RNA", at positions 28 to 507 of the family's 1533-position model. The record is from RNAcentral.